AAAUUUAGUAUUUCAAUUAUCUAUUGCUAUGUAACAUGCAUCCAAAAAAUGCAGUGGUUUCUAAAAUCAAUAUUAUCUUUCAUGAUUGUUUAUUAAUGAAGUGUUUCUUCUGCCUCACACGGCAUUGGCUAAGAUACAGGGAUAUUUACAAAAUUCAAAAUGUUUACUGAGUUGUCAGCCAGAGGCUUUAGUUCUCCUGCAGGUGGGACUCUCCACAUAGCUACUUGGGUUUCUUCACAAUAAGGUAAAUGGGGUCAAAGAAUGACCAUUCAGGACAGGAAGUGGAAGAAACACAGAACCAUGGCCGCUAUGGUUGCUGUUUGCGGUGGUCUAGGGAGGAAGAAGGUGACACAGCUGGUAACGGCUGCUAUCAGCCUUACACAUCCCAGGACUCACACAGUGCUGUGGAGAAGAGGAUUUUCACAAUAUAAACAGAUAUCCAGCAAUGAGGAUCUGCCCAUUCCAAUGGAAAGCCCUUAUAAAGAACCUCUUAAGAAAUGUAUUUUAUGUGGAAAGCAUGUAGAUUAUAAGAAGGUACAGCUUUUGGCUCAGCUUGUUUCACCAUUUACUGGAGGCAUUUAUGGAAGGCACAUUACAGGUCUUUGUGUGAAGAAAGAGAAAGAAAUAACAAAAGCAAUUAAGAGAGCUCAAAUAAUGGGGUUUAUGCUAGUUACAUACAAGGAUCCUGCAUAUCUCAAGGACCCUAAAGUUUGUAACAGCAGAUAUCAGGAACAACUUCUAUCAUGUUACCACCAAUAAACUUAUUUUACAGCAAAGAAUGACUAUGCAAAAAGGUGAAUGAGUAAGCUACAGAUCUCUUAAGGCUCAUCCAUAGAUGUUACGCAGUAUCACUUGAGAUGCAUUCCAUUCCAAACAGGUGAAAAAAAGCCGACUCUACCUUUCCUUAGAGGAGGGUCAAGAUCACAUUGCAAAGUGUAUGUGGGAUGUUAAAUUUAGUUAUGGCCAUCUUUGAAAAUACAAUGUACCACACACACAGAAGUCGAGCCAUUAACCAAUAAGUGGGGAUUUCAAGGGUUAGCAGUAAAUGUGAUGACAAUAUUGUAUAAAAUUAUAUAAAUUAUUACAUUUAAAAAUCAUCUUAAAGCAUAAAGAGAAAUCGAAAAUUAGCCCAGACUGAGAAGGUAAAGAUCUUUACUAUUCUUCAUCAGGAUGAGAUAAUAUAGAUAAAACCAGCUGCAAUGUUGUCAGCUAAACAGUAGAUGCUGGACC
RNA transcript from Sapajus apella (tufted capuchin), 1230 nucleotides. It is a transcript of the gene named 28S ribosomal protein S18c, mitochondrial pseudogene, with no coding region annotated. The transcript has a single exon. NCBI's taxonomy places the organism in Eukaryota, Metazoa, Chordata, Mammalia, Primates, Cebidae. The record is from RefSeq and is a predicted model, not a curated record.